UCAAGCUACUAAGGGCAUACGGCGGAUGCCUAGGCGCCAUCAGCCGAUGAAGGACGCGGUAAGCUGCGAAAAGCUACGGGGAACUGCAAGCAAGUAUUGAUCCGUAGAUGUCCGAAUGGGGAAACCCACCUGCCGUCAUGGGCAGGUAUCCGAAAGGAAGGGAACCCGGGGAACUGAAACAUCUAAGUACCCGGAGGAAGAGAAAUCAAACGAGAUGCCCACAGUAGCGGCGAGCGAAGAGGGCAGAGGGCAAACCGGUGAGCUACGGCUCGCCGGGGUUGAGGACUGCAUUUAGUCUCAAUGGUCUAUCCGAACUACCUGGAAAGGUAGGCAAUACAGUGUAAAAGCCACGUAGGUUAAAGACCGGAGAGAUGAGCAGUAUCCAGAGUACCACGAGGCACGAGGAAUCUUGUGGGAAGCCGGGGGGACCACCCUCCAACCCUAAACACUGAAUGGCGACCGAUAGCGCAUAGUACCGUGAGGGAAAGGUGAAAAGAACCCCGGGAGGGGAGUGAAAGAGAACCUGAAACCGUAUGUCUACAAGCAGUCGGAGCGAAAGCGACGGCGUGCCUAUUGAAGAAUGAACCAACGAGUUACGUGCACUAGCGAGGUUAAGUGGAAGACACGGAGCCGAAGCGAAAGCGAGUCUUAAGAGGGCGGAUAGUUAGUGUACGUAGACCCGAAACCGCAGUGAUCUACCCAUGUCCAGGUUGAAGCGCAGGUAAAAUUGCGUGGAGGACCGAACCUGUGAGCGUUGAAAAGCUUUAGGAUGAGAUGUGGGUAGAGGUGAAAUUCCAAUCGAACGCGGAGAUAGCUGGUUCUCCCCGAAAUAGCUUUAGGGCUAGCCUCAAGUAGUAAGUAUAGGCGGUAGAGCACUGAUCGGGCUAGGGGCCAUAAAGGUUACCGAACCCUGUCAAACUCCGAAUGGUUAUACUGUAGAGCUUGGGAGUCAGACUACGAGUGAUAAGAUCCGUGGUCAAAAGGGAAACAGCCCAGACCACCAGCUAAGGUCCCCAAUGUCGUACUAAGUGGAAAAGGAUGUGGGGUCUCUAAAACAACCAGGAUGUUGGCUUAGAAGCAGCCACCAUUUAAAGAGUGCGUAAUAGCUCACUGGUCGAGAGACCCUGCGCCGAAGAUUACCGGGGCUAAAGUACGAAACCGAAGCUGUGGCUACGACAUAUGUCGUGGGGUAGGGGAGCGUUCUGUGAGGGCUGAAGUCGUUCUGUAAGGAACGGUGGACUUCACAGAAGUGAGAAUGUUGGUAUGAGUAGCGAAAAGAAUGGUGAGAAUCCAUUCCACCGAAAGCAUAAGGAUUCCUGGGCAACGAUCGUCGUCCCAGGGUAAGUCGGGACCUAAUCCGAGGCAUGGAGCGUAGGAGAUGGACAACUGGCAGAUAUUCCAGUACCGGUAAUGAUUGUUUGAGCGAUGGAGUGACACAGGAGGGCAGGCAGGCAGGAGAUUGGUUGUUCCUGUACAAGCGUGUAGGAUGGGACGCAGGCAAAUCCGCGUCCUGUGAGUCUGAGGCGUGAUGUGGAGGUUCCGGAAACGGAACUGAAGCUGCUGACCCCACACUGUCGAGAAAAGCUUCUAGUUAGAGAAUUACCGCCCGUACCGUAAACCGACACAGGUAUGCGGGGAGAGAAUCCUAAGGUGCGCGGGAGAACCCUCGUUAAGGAACUCGGCAAAAUGUACCCGUAACUUCGGGAUAAGGGUAGCCGCUGUUGUGAAGUCUGAACAGACGGAGCAUGAGGCGGUCGCAGAGAAGAGGCCCAAGCGACUGUUUACCACAAACACAGGUGCCUGCUAAAGAGAAAUCUGACGUAUAGGUGCUGACACCUGCCCAGUGCCGGAAGGUUAAGGAAGGAUGUCCGGAGCAAUCCAAAGCAUUCGACCGAAGCCCCGGUGAACGGCGGCCGUAACUAUAACGGUCCUAAGGUAGCGAAAUUCCUUGUCGGGUAAGUUCCGACCCGCACGAAAGGUGU
Molecule: ribosomal RNA, 1982 nt
Filed under: human gut metagenome
Description: bacterial LSU rRNA
Rfam family: Bacterial large subunit ribosomal RNA
Source: RNAcentral